Molecule: non-coding RNA, 313 nt
Organism: Paramisgurnus dabryanus
Lineage: Eukaryota; Metazoa; Chordata; Actinopteri; Cypriniformes; Cobitidae
Source: RefSeq, a predicted model, not a curated record
GAUGACUGAUCAGUGUGACAGAGACCCGAGACAUAUCAUACAGCGUCUUCAUGGAGUUUCAAGGUCACCUUGAAAAAGGAUUCUCAAAAUUCUUCAAAGUGGCUUACUUAAAAGUUGCAGCAUCUCCUGAGAGCUACAGUCCCAAGAAACACAGUUAAAUACGAUUCACAUACGCACGCACGGAUACACACACAAACACGGCAUGGAACGAUAACAAAACGCAGCAGGGAGCCCGCCACUGCCCUCAAAUGCUGAUGAUGAAGCAAUAUGGAACGCCUGGAUGAAGCAACAUGUAACAUGAUCAAAAAACCCU